CGUAGGCCUGCCCCAGCCAGCCUCUGAGAGCCUCUGUUGAACUGAUGUGGCUGACUGAGAGACACAACCUCCUUGCCUGCCUGUCUGUCAACCCCUCAGCACAACCCUAGGUCUUCUC
RNAcentral lists this long non-coding RNA (118 nucleotides) under Mus pahari (shrew mouse). RNAcentral's name for it is "sRNA (MGP_PahariEiJ_G0008052.1)". It matches the Rfam family "SPRY4-IT1 conserved region 2". The record is from RNAcentral. Lineage: Eukaryota; Metazoa; Chordata; Mammalia; Rodentia; Muridae.